GAAAAAUAGAUAACAUAAAUAGAAAAAUCAACCUAGAAAUAACUUAACCAGUUCUAGUUGUAUUUUACGAGUUAUUCAUUGAAAUCGUAGACAAAUUAUUUAAAAAUGUUUUAAAUAUGACGUAUGGGUUAUUCAUAUUUGAUUCUUAUAUAUAUGUUUAAAUAUAUACAAGAUAACUACACACUAAAUAGAAUAAAGAGGGAAAAAACAAACCCUACAUAACCCGUAACUAUUAAAAAACAUAGAAAAAUAGAUAACAUAAAUAGAAAAAUCAACUUAGAAAUAACUUAACCAGUACUAGUUGUAUUUUACGAGUUAUUCAUUGAAAUCGUAGACAAAUUGUUUGAAUAUGUUUUAAAUAUGACGUAUGGGUUAUUUAUAUUUGAUUCUUAUAUAUAUGUUUAUAUAUAUACAAGAUACUGACACAUAAAGUAGAAUAAAGAGGGAAAAAACAAACCCUACAUAACACGUAACUAUUAAAAAACACAGAAAAAGAGAUACCAUAAAUAGAAAAAUCAUCCUAAAAAUAACUUAACUAGUUGUAGUUGUAUUUUACGAGUUAUUCAUUGAAAUCGUAGACAAAUUGUUUAAAAAUGUUUUAAAUAUGAUCUAUGGGUUAUUCAUAUUUGAUUGUUAUAUAUACGUUUAUAUAUAUAUACAAGAUAACGACACACUAAAUAGAAUAAAGAGGGAAAAAACAAACCCUACAUAACACGUAACUAUUA
RNAcentral lists this long non-coding RNA (725 nucleotides) under Lathyrus oleraceus (garden pea). RNAcentral describes it as "Pisum sativum (pea) long non-coding RNA (PSAT_LNC039631)". Lineage: Eukaryota; Viridiplantae; Streptophyta; Magnoliopsida; Fabales; Fabaceae. The record is from RNAcentral.